AGGAGACGCUGGCGGCGUGGAUUAGGCAUGCAAGUCGAACGGUAUCAUCCUUUCGGGGAUGAGAGAGUGGCGAACGGGUGAGUAACACGUAGGUGAUCUACCCUCAAGACGGGGACAACCCAGGGAAACUUGGGCUAAUACCGGAUGUGAGCUAUCGCGAGAUAGUUUGAAAGGUGGCUUCGGCUGCCGCUUGGGGAUGAGCCUGCGUCCUAUUAGCUAGUUGGUGAGGUAACGGCUCACCGAGGCAGUGAUAGGUAGGCGGCCUUAACGGGUGGUCGCCCACACUGGGAUUGAGAUACGGCCCAGACUCCUACGGGAGGCAGCAGUCGAGAAUAGUCUACAAUGGUCGGAAGACUGAUAGUGCGACGCCGCGUGAACGAUGAAUCCCUUCGGGGUGUAAAGUUCUUUUAUAUGUGAGCAGUGCUUCUUAUAUUAACAGUAUGGGGAGAGAGAUAUUAGCAUAUGAAUAAGCAACGGCUAACUCCGUG
Molecule: ribosomal RNA, 488 nt
Filed under: uncultured bacterium
Lineage: Bacteria
Description: bacterial SSU rRNA
Rfam family: Bacterial small subunit ribosomal RNA
Source: RNAcentral